GACGAACGCUGGCGGCGUGGAUUAGGCAUGCAAGUCGGACGGUAGGGCUUUAUCGUAAGAUAGAGUUUGAGAGUGGCGAACGGGUGAGUAACACGUGGGUGAUCUGCCCUGUACUUCGGGAUAAGCCCGGGAAACUGGGUCUAAUACCGGAUAGGACUGUGCCAUGCAUGUGGUGUGGUGGAAAGUUCCGGCGGUACAGGAUGGGCCCGCGGCCUAUCAGCUUGUUGGUGGGGUAAUGGCCUACCAAGGCGACGACGGGUAGCCGGCCUGAGAGGGUGACCGGCCACACUGGAACUGAGGCACGGUCCAGACUCCUACGGGGGGCAGCAGUGGGGAAUCUUCCACAAUGGGCGAAAGCCUGAUGGAGCGACGCCGCGUGAGCGAAGAAGGCCUUCGGGUUGUAAAGCUCUGUCUGGAGGGACGAAGGAAGUGACGGUACCUCCGGAGGAAGCCACGGCUAACUACGUG
This 468-nucleotide ribosomal RNA is filed under the name uncultured bacterium. RNAcentral's name for it is "bacterial SSU rRNA". It matches the Rfam family "Bacterial small subunit ribosomal RNA", at positions 28 to 507 of the family's 1533-position model. The record is from RNAcentral.